Long non-coding RNA from Erinaceus europaeus (western European hedgehog), 1399 nucleotides. RefSeq lists it as uncharacterized. NCBI's taxonomy places the organism in Eukaryota, Metazoa, Chordata, Mammalia, Eulipotyphla, Erinaceidae. The transcript has 2 exons. The record is from RefSeq and is a predicted model, not a curated record.
CACACACACACACGCCCCGAGAAUACCCCAAGGCUCACCUGGGUGUCGAACCCGUUUUCCACAGAGCCGCUCAUCUGCAGAGGGAGUCCCUCCCCGGCCGACUCCUGCAGCCCCUGCGACUUCAGCGGGAUCUGGCUGGGUGAAUCUCCAGAGUAUUCCUUUACUGUGGCAGAACUGCUCCAUUCUACAGUUGAAGAAAUAGGUGGAAAGGUUAGGAGGAGGCAAGGAAUGAGUGUCAGGUCUGUCCUGGGGGAUUGCUUGCACACUGCUCAGGCUUGCCCCCUGGCAUUCACUAGGAGGCAAAGAUCAAUGGGCCAUCAAGAAGCUUAAGAAUUAGGAGGGUGGGGCUGGGGAGACAGCCUAAAGGUUAGGCCUGAGGCUCUAAGGUCCCAGGUUCCACCCCCAGCAUCACAGAAAGCCAAAGCUGAGUAGUGAGUGCUCUGUUCUCUCCCCCACCCCCACACUGUAACUUUCUUUCUGAUUUUCUCUCAUUAAAAUAAAUAAAAUAUUAUUUUUUAAAAAAGAAUUAGGAGGGUGCUCUUUAAAGAAGCAAACUUCUAAGCCCCUCCUUACCUCCAACAAACCUAGAAUUAAAAUCCCAAAGUCUGCAUUUUAAGCAAGGACUCUGAAGAGCUGGCCAGUACACUUAGCUCUGCAGUCUCACUAGGGUUCACUAGGGUUACUCAAGGACCUGAAAACUAAGCCCCACGCUGGACCAAUUAAGUCAGACUCUGGGCUUGGGGUCCAGGCACUCCAGUGUUAGCAGAGUUCUCAGAGCGCAGGCAAAUGGAAAAGCACUGCUUUAAGAAAUACAGCAUCCCAAAACCUACAUAUACACCAGUUUCUGUGAGAGAGAGCAUAUGUUCACACGUAUCCGUAAACUACUGCAAAAUAUAUACCUGAAAGCAGAAGUACACUAGAGUUUGCAGUGAGUACCCCCCUAACACUUUCUCUCCACUAUUCCAAGCUUUGGGUCCAUGAUUGCUCAACAAUUUGUUUGGCUUCGUAUGUUAACUCUCUUUUCAGUCACCAGGUUCCAGAUGUCAUCAGGAUGCUGGCCAGGCUUCCCUGGACUGAAGACCCCACCAAUGUGUCCUGGAGCUCCACUUCCCCAGAGACACACCCUACUAGGGAAAGAGAGAGGCAGACUGGGAGUAUGGACUGACCAGUCAACGCCCAUGUUCAGUGGAGAAGCAGUUACAGAAGCCAGACCUUCUACCUUCUGCAGCCCUCAAUGACCCUGGGUCCAUGCUCCCAGAGGGAUAGAGAAUGGGAAAGCUAUCAGGGGAGGGGGUGGGAUAUGGAGAUUGGGUGGUGGAAAUUGUGUGGAAUUGUACCCCUCCUACCCUAUGGUUUUGUUAAUUAAUCCUUUCUUAAAUAAAAAAUAAAAAAAAAGAAA